GAUGAACGCUGGCGGCGUGCCUAAUACAUGCAAGUCGAGCGAACAGACGAGGAGCUUGCUCCUCUGACGUUAGCGGCGGACGGGUGAGUAACACGUGGAUAACCUACCUAUAAGACUGGGAUAACUUCGGGAAACCGGAGCUAAUACCGGAUAAUAUAUUGAACCGCAUGGUUCAAUAGUGAAAGACGGUUUUGCUGUCACUUAUAGAUGGAUCCGCGCCGCAUUAGCUAGUUGGUAAGGUAACGGCUUACCAAGGCAACGAUGCAUAGCCGACCUGAGAGGGUAAUCGGCCACACUGGAACUGAGACACGGUCCAGACUCCUACGGGAGGCAGCAGUAGGGAAUCUUCCGCAAUGGGCGAAAGCUUGACGGAGCAACGCCGCGUGAGUGAUGAAGGUCUUCGGAUCGUAAAACUCUGUUAUUAGGGAAGAACAAAUGUGUAAGUAACUAUGCACGUCUUGACGGUACCUAAUCAGAAAGCCACGGCUAACUACGUG
This 497-nucleotide ribosomal RNA is filed under the name uncultured bacterium. RNAcentral's name for it is "partial 16S ribosomal RNA". It matches the Rfam family "Bacterial small subunit ribosomal RNA", at positions 28 to 507 of the family's 1533-position model. The record is from RNAcentral.